This 596-nucleotide long non-coding RNA is filed under the name Callithrix jacchus (white-tufted-ear marmoset). RNAcentral's name for it is "lncRNA (ENSCJAG00000069954.1)". Lineage: Eukaryota; Metazoa; Chordata; Mammalia; Primates; Cebidae. The record is from RNAcentral.
GUGAUGGCAGUGAGGGUUUCCUAAGGACAGACUCAGUACCUUGAAUGUGUCAAUGCCACUUUAAUCCUUACUGCAGGAGAAAGUUCUGUUCCCCCAUUCUACAGAUGAGGAAGCUAAGUCACAGAGAGCCUUGGUGACCCACCCUGGGUCCCACAGCCCAUAAAGGGUAGCCCAGGAAGUUGAAGCCAGGUGGGCCGGCUGCAGAAAACCUGCAGGAACCUGAGUGCAAGGUGGCUUUACUGGGGCUGAGGCCUCCAGCAGGGAAAGCAGCCUCCUGAGUCGAUCUGGGUGGCCUGACCCUGCCCGAGGUCUGGGCAGGGGUCCUGGGGCAGCCUUUGAAACCCUCUCCAACGGACACACACCCGCUGGGAGCCCCUGGACGAACUCCUGCCCCCAGGAAACCGAAACUCCCUGUGGACACCAGGACCCUCCUCCCAGAGGAAGAACAGCUGAGCUGCUCCCUGACAGAAAAAGACAGUUCCAGAACUCGGGAAGGUGAGGACAAGAAUUUCAAGCCAGAGGGGAGAUAUGAAGGAAGGCUCAGAAGCCCAGAGGUGGAAAUUGCAGACCAGGGCUGAGCUGGGGGGGACUUCGGG